Molecule: ribosomal RNA, 292 nt
Filed under: uncultured bacterium
Lineage: Bacteria
Description: partial 16S ribosomal RNA
Rfam family: Bacterial small subunit ribosomal RNA
Source: RNAcentral
GUGCCAGCAGCCGCGGUAAUACAGAGGUCUCAAGCGUUGUUCGGAAUCACUGGGCGUAAAGGGUGCGCAGGUGGUCAUGUAAGUCAAAUGUGAAAGACUGGGGCUCAACCUCAGAUUUGCAUGUGAUACUGCGUGACUUGAGAACUGAAGAGGGAUCUUGAAUUCACGGUGUAGCAGUGAAAUGCGUAGAUAUCGUGAGGAACACCAAAGGCGAAAGCAGGAUCCUGGUCAGCUUCUGACACUCAUGCACGAAGGCUAGGGGAGCAAACGGGAUUAGAAACCCUUGUAGUCC